Molecule: ribosomal RNA, 440 nt
Filed under: uncultured bacterium
Lineage: Bacteria
Description: bacterial SSU rRNA
Rfam family: Bacterial small subunit ribosomal RNA
Source: RNAcentral
CCUACGGGAGGCAGCAGUGGGGAAUAUUGCGCAAUGGGCGAAAGCCUGACGCAGCGACGCCGCGUGGGGGAUGACGGCCUUCGGGUUGUAAACCUCUUUCAGCAGGGACGAAGCGCAAGUGACGGUACCUGCAGAAGAAGCACCGGCCAACUACGUGCCAGCAGCCGCGGUAAUACGUAGGGUGCAAGCGUUGUCCGGAAUUAUUGGGCGUAAAGAGCUCGUAGGCGGUUCGUCGCGUCGGCUGUGAAAUCCCGAGGCUCAACCUCGGGUCUGCAGUCGAUACGGGCGGACUGGAGUUCGGCAGGGGAGACUGGAAUUCCUGGUGUAGCGGUGAAAUGCGCAGAUAUCAGGAGGAACACCGGUGGCGAAGGCGGGUCUCUGGGCCGAUACUGACGCUGAGGAGCGAAAGCGUGGGGAGCGAACAGGAUUAGAUACCCUAG